Molecule: long non-coding RNA, 176 nt
Organism: Perognathus longimembris pacificus (Pacific pocket mouse)
Lineage: Eukaryota; Metazoa; Chordata; Mammalia; Rodentia; Heteromyidae
Exons: 4
Source: RefSeq, a predicted model, not a curated record
UAAAGACAUUAAGAAAAUCUUCUUAUGGGCUCGGAAUGUGGCCUAGUCGUAGAAUGCUUGCCUAGCAUGCAUGAAGCCGUGGUUUUCGUUCCUCAGCACUAAAUAUACAGAAAAAGCUGGAAGUGGUGCUGGUGGCUCAAGUGGUAGAGUGCUAGCCUUGAGCAAAAGGAAGCCAC